GAGAGUGAGUGUUGGGUGAGUGUUGGGUGAGUGGUGGGUGAGUGGUGGGUGAGUGGUGGGUGAGUGGUGGGUGGGUGAGUGGAGCAGGGGGCGACACUCAGAGGGAGAAGCGGUGUGGACAUCGGGAAGACAAAGGCGGUAGGGGAGGUACAGUAGGCGUACAGUGCGUGGGUAGCUUCCAUCAGUGAAGGGUGGAGUGGGCGACUCACCGCGGUCGACUUUGUGUCCCUCGUGCUACUUACAGUAGGCGGGCUCCCUGCUGUGCCAAAGGGUCACGAAGAUUCACGCAGAGAUAGAGGCAAAGGGCCCCCCCCCCCCCAGUAGCAGCAGCGGCAGCCGUGUAGUCUUAACAGAACGUGGGGGGCUAAGCGCUGAUUAUGGUUGUGCGGAGGGCGCAUAGACUCACCACACACACACAGAGAGACAUAGACUCACCUUACACACACAGAGAGACAUAGACUCACCUUACAGAGAGACAUAGACUCACCACACACACAGAGAGACAUAGACUCACCUUACAGAGAGACAUAGACCGACCGCACACACAGAGACCCAUAGACUCACCACACACACAGAGAGAUCCAUAGACUCACCACUCACACAGAGACCCAUAGACUCACCACUCACACAGAGCCAUAGACUCACCACGCAGAGAGCCAUAGACUCACCACGCAGAGAGCCAUAGACUCAUCACACAGAGACCCAUAGACUCACCACUCACACAGAGCCAUAGACUCACCACGCAGAGAGCCAUAGACUCACCACGCAGAGAGCCAUAGACUCACCACACAGAGAAGCCAUAGACUCAUCACACAGAGACCCAUAGACUCACCACGCAGAGAGCCAUAGACUCACCACACUCACACACAGAGAGCCAUAGACUCACCACUCACACAGAGACCCAUAGACUCACCACGCAGAGAGCCAUAGACUCACCACACUCACACACAGAGAGCCAUAGACUCACCACUCACACAGAGACCCAUAGACUCACCGCGCAGAGAGCCAUAGACUCACCGCACAGAGAGCCAUAUACUCACCACACAGAGAGCCAUAGAUUCACCCCACAGAGAGCCAUAGACUCACCGCACAGAGAGCCAUAGACUCACCACACAGAGCCAUAGACUCACAGAGACCCAUAGACUCAUCACGCAAAGACCCACAGACUCAUCAGAGACCCACAGAUUUACCACACACACACACAGACCCAUAGACUCAUCAUACAGAGAACCAUAGACUCACCACUCACACGCAGAGAGACCCAUAGACUCACCACUCUCACAGAGACCCAAAGACCCAUGAAAAAAAAAGAUACCCAUAGACUCACCACACAGAGACCCAUAGACUCACCACUCUCACAGAGACCCAUAGACCCAUUAAAAAAAAAGAUACCCAUAGACUCACCACACAGAGACCCACAGACUCACCACACAGAGACCCACAGACUCACCACACAGAGACCCACAGACUCACCACACAGAGACCCACAGACUCACCACACAGAGACCCACAGACUCACCACACAGAGACCCAUAGACUCACCACACAGAGACCUGGAGUGGAUAUAAUACAUAGAUAGCACUGUACACACACACCAUCACCACCACUAGCAUCGGUUUAAAACGUAACUAAACUCGAUUGGACCCGAUGCAUUUAAGCAAAUUUCUUCCACAUUAUUUUAUGACUUUGAGGGUGUCGAUGAUUCCUGGCCCAUGUUUUGCAAAAUUGGUUUAAAAAAAUACAUAUUCUGAUAUACGCACACACACUCAUAUAGUGCACGUGUACAAUAUACAUACAGAGGAGUGUGUACAAUUGAUAAUAGUACAAUAUAAACACAUUAUCAAUACUGAUUCUGAUACACACACUCAUAUAGUACAUGUGUACAAUAUACAUACAGAGGAGUGUGUACAAAUUGAAAUAGUACAAUAUAAACACAUCAAUACUGAUUCUGAUACACACACUCAUAUAGUACAUGUGUACAAUAUACAGAGAGGAGUGUGUACAAAUCGAUAUAGUACAAUAUAAACACAUUAUCAAUACUGAUUCUGAUACACACACUCAUAUAGUACAUGUGUACAAUAUACAUACAGAGGAGUGUGUACAAAUUGAUAUAGUACAAUAUAAACACAUUAUCAAUACUGAUUCUGAUACACACACUCAUAUAGUACAUGUGUACAAUAUACAUACAGAGGAGUGUGUACAAAUUGAAAUAGUACAAUAUAAACACAUCAAUACUGAUUCUGAUACACACACUCAUAUAGUACAUGUGUACAAUAUACAGAGAGGAGUGUGUACAAAUCGAUAUAGUACAAUAUAAACACAUUAUCAAUACUGAUUCUGAUACACACACUCAUAUAGUACAUGUGUACAAUAUACAUACAGAGGAGUGUGUACAAAUUGAUAUAGUACAAUAUAAACACAUUAUCAAUACUGAUUCUGAUACACACACUCAUAUAGUACAUGUGUACAAUAUACAUACAGAGGAGUGUGUACAAAUUGAAAUAGUACAAUAUAAACACAUCAAUACUGAUUCUGAUACACACACUCAUAUAGUACAUGUGUACAAUAUACAGAGAGGAGUGUGUACAAAUCGAUAUAGUACAAUAUAAACACAUUAUCAAUACUGAUUCUGAUACACUCAUAUAGUACAUGUGUACAAGAUACAGAGAGGGGUGUGUGUGUGUACAAAUUGAUAACAUAGAAUAUAAACACAGCUAUUAACACACACAAAUAGCACUUAUGCAGCAGAAUAUAUUGCUGCAGGCUAAUACAUAUUCUGAUUUCUACACACACACACUCAUAGAGUGCUAAAGUGUGCACUAUACAUACGGGUGUAGGUGUGUAUUGUGUACAAAUUGUACACAAUACAAUAUAAACAGUGAUGUUAACACACACACAUGCAUCAGAAUAUAUCCCUACACUCUAAAAUACAUGUUCUGAUUCUGAUAUACACACAUACACACACACAUAGAGUGCAUUUAUACAACAAAAGUGUGUUUAACUAAUAGAAAUAGUACAAUAUAAACAGAUGUUAACACACAUAUAGCAGAAUAUAUCCCUCCACUCUAAAAUACAUGUUCUGAUUCUGAUACACACAUACAUACACACAUAGAGUGCAUUUAUACAACAAAGGUGUGUUUAACUAAUAGAAAUAGUAUACAAUAUAAACAGAUGUUAACACACAUAUAGCAGAAUAUAUCCCUACACUCUAAAAUACAUGUUCUGAUUCUGAUACACACACAUACACACACUCAUAGAGUGCAUUUAUACAACAAAGGUGUGUUUAACUAAUAGAAAUAGUAUACAAUAUAAACAGAUGUUAACACACACACAGCAGAAUAUAUUUCUCCACUCUAAAAUACAUGUUCUGAUUCUGAUACACACACAUACACACAUAGAGUGUAUUUAUACAACAAAGGUGUGUUUAACUAAUAGAAAUAGUAUACAAUAUAAACAUGUUAACACACAUAUAGCAGAAUAUAUCCCUACACUCUAAAAUACAUGUUCUGAUUCUGAUAUACACACAUACACACACUUAGAGUACAUUUAUACAACAAAGGUGUGUUUAACUAAUAGAAAUAGUACAAUAUAAACAGAUGUUAACAAACACACACAUAUAGCAGAAUAUAUUUCUCCACUCUAAAAUACAUGUUCUGAUUCUGAUACACACACAUACACACACUCAUAGAGUGCAUUUAUACAACAAAGGUGUGUUUAACUAAUAGAAAUAGUAUACAAUAUAAACAGAUGUUAACACACACAUGCAUCAGAAUAUAUCCCUACACUCUAAAAUACAUGUUCUGAUUCUGAUAUACACACAUACACACACUCAUAGAGUGCAUUUAUACAACAAAGGUGUGUUUAACUAAUAGAAAUAGUAUACAAUAUAAACAGAUGUUAACACACACAUGCAUCAGAAUAUAUCCCUACACUCUAAAAUACAUGUUCUGAUUCUGAUAUACACACAUACACACACACAUAGAGUGCAUUUAUACAACAAAGGUGUGUUUAACUAAUAGAAAUAGUAUACAAUAUAAACAGAUGUUAACACACAUAUA
This is a long non-coding RNA of Lethenteron reissneri (Far Eastern brook lamprey), 4058 nucleotides long. RefSeq lists it as uncharacterized. The record is from RefSeq and is a predicted model, not a curated record. NCBI's taxonomy places the organism in Eukaryota, Metazoa, Chordata, Hyperoartia, Petromyzontiformes, Petromyzontidae.